GUUAUAUUAGUUUAAUAAGAACAUUUGUAUUGCAAACAAAAGGAGGAGAAAUCCAUAUUCCA
RNAcentral lists this transfer RNA (62 nucleotides) under Branchipolynoe segonzaci. RNAcentral describes it as "Branchinotogluma segonzaci tRNA-Ala". The record is from RNAcentral. Lineage: Eukaryota; Metazoa; Annelida; Polychaeta; Phyllodocida; Polynoidae.